AACGAACGCUGGCGGCAGGCCUAACACAUGCAAGUCGAGCGCCCGGAUUUAUCCGGGAGCGGCGCACGGGUGAGUAACGCGUGGGAACAUGCCCUGAAGUACGGAACAACCUGGGGAAACCUUGGCUAAUACCGUAUACGCCCUGAGGGGGAAAGAUUUAUCGCUUUGGGAUUGGCCCGCGUUGGAUUAGCUGGUUGGUGUGGUAACGGCGCACCAAGGCGACGAUCCAUAACUGGUCUGAGAGGAUGACCAGUCACACUGGGACGGAUGACACGGCCCAGACUCCUACGGGAGGCAGCAGUGGGGAAUAUUGGACAAUGGGCGAAAGCCUGAUCCAGCCAUGCCGCGUGAGUGAAGAAGGCCUUCGGGUUGUAAAGCUCUUUCAGCGGGGACGAUGAUGACGGUACCCGCAGAAGAAGCCCCGGCUAACCUCGUGCCAGCCGCCGCAGUAA
RNAcentral lists this ribosomal RNA (452 nucleotides) under uncultured bacterium. RNAcentral describes it as "partial 16S ribosomal RNA". It matches the Rfam family "Bacterial small subunit ribosomal RNA", at positions 29 to 523 of the family's 1533-position model. The record is from RNAcentral.